AGUGAACGCUGGCGGUAGGCCUAACACAUGCAAGUCGAACGGCAGCACAGUAAGAGCUUGCUCUUACGGGUGGCGGGUGGCGGACGGGUGAGGAAUACAUCGGAAUCUACUUUUUCGUGGGGGAUAACGUAGGGAAGCUUACGCUAAUACCGCAUACGACCUACGGGUGAAAGCAGGGGAUCUUCGGACCUUGCGCGAUUGAAUGAGCCGAUGUCGGAUUAGCUAGUUGGCGGGGUAAAGGCCCACCAAGGCGACGAUCCGUAGCUGGUCUGAGAGGAUGAUCAGCCACACUGGAACUGAGACACGGUCCAGACUCCUACGGGAGGCAGCAGUGGGGAAUAUUGGACAAUGGGCGCAAGCCUGAUCCAGCCAUACCGCGUGGGUGAAGAAGGCCUUCGGGUUGUAAAGCCCUUUUGUUGGGAAAGAAAAGCAGCAGGUUAAUACCCCGCUGUUCUGACGGUACCCAAAGAAUAAGCACCGGCUAACUUCGUG
This 492-nucleotide ribosomal RNA is filed under the name uncultured bacterium. RNAcentral's name for it is "partial 16S ribosomal RNA". It matches the Rfam family "Bacterial small subunit ribosomal RNA", at positions 29 to 507 of the family's 1533-position model. The record is from RNAcentral.